UUUAUACCUAGUCUAAAGGUAAAAAUUUAGCUGCAGUAGGUGUUUGCACCAAAUAUAUACCGUAAUAUUAAUUAUAAUUAAGUGAAAUAAUUGUAUAUAUAAACACAUAUUAUGUACCUAUUGAUUUAGUGUAAAUAUAAAGUACAAGUUAGUUUUUAGUACUCCUAGUCAAAUGAUAUUAAAUAAAAUAAAACAAAAGAAAUAUCAAAGGGGAGCAUUGGUGUAACUGGUAAAGUUGUUACCAUGUGUCCAGAAAGUCACGAGUUCGAGCCGUGGAAAUAACAUCUUGGUCCAGCCCUUUCCGAGAUCUCACACAUAUCGAAAGGGAGCAUAUUUGCAUAACUGGUAAAAUUCUUACCAUGAGACCAGAAGGUCACGGAUUCGAGCCGUAAAAAUAGUCUCUUGGUCCGACCCUUCCCGGGAUCUCAUGCAUAACCGAAGCUUAGUGCACCGGAAUCCCACGCAUAGCGAAAGCUUAGUAUACCGUGGUGCCUUUUAAGAGCAAGGAAAUAUCAUUCUAGAAUUGUGCACUGCUGGCGGAGGUACAAAUCGUGACCAUGCAUGAUAACAUCAACAGCUGUCAUGUAUGCCGGCAUAGUUUUAAGUCUAUUACAAAGUCUUCAUUAAAGAGUUAUAUGAAGAUUAUUAUGAUUUUAUAAUAAAGCAAGUUAGGUUAAAAGCUCUCUUAUGUCGCAAAAAUUAAAGACUAAAUUACUGGUAGCAAAUUUUAUUAUUAGCCAACCCUUAUAAAUAUCUGCCCAACCACAUUAGUUCCUUGUCACAAAGUACCAUAUCUUCACUCCUAUCCCAUAUCUCUUCCUCUCUCUCCUUUUUUCUUCAUUUGUUUUUUAAAAGAUGGAUAAAAAACCAUGCAACUCUCAAGAUGUUGAAGUGAGGAAAGGACCUUGGACUAUGGAAGAGGAUUUAAUUCUCAUUAACUACAUUGCUAAUCAUGGUGAAGGUGUUUGGAAUUCCUUAGCUAAAUCUGCUGGUAAUUUUUCCCUUUUUUCCCCUUAAUUCCUUUGUCAGUAACAAAACCCUAGAUAUCAUUUUGUUAUAUGUAGGAACACUAUUUUAUAUGUCUCAAUAUUCUUUCUCUAGGUCUCAAACGUACCGGAAAAAGCUGUCGGCUCCGGUGGCUAAAUUAUCUCCGGCCUGAUGUCCGGAGGGGAAAUAUUACACCUGAAGAACAACUUUUGAUAAUGGAACUGCAUGCUAAGUGGGGAAACAGGUGAGUAUUUCUAAAGAUCGUAGUACAUAAAAUAAUUAAAAUUCAAUUGCAAAAGAAAAAAUUGGAAACUGAUGGAAUUUUUUCCAUCAAGUUUUGAUUCUCCCAUUUGUUGAGUGGACAAAGAGAGCCGCUCAAAAUAUUGUCAAAAAUGAUUCUAAUCUCGUGGCUGUGACCCAUAACCUGUUCAUCGUGGUACUAGAUUUGGAAUGAAAGAAAGUGAGUAUUUAAAACGUGUUAUAUGUUUAUGGCUACGUACUGAAGAUCUUAGAAUUGAAACGUGGGGAAUAUAAUCUAUAGCUACGGCAGCUAAAUUUUGUUCCCUUUAUUUUUUUUGGUCCUAUCAAAAGUUCUUCUUCCUAAACCACUCAUCUACCCUAUGUCUUCCAUGAAUAAAAUUUAAAAAUGAUUAUUUUCCUUUUCUUAAGCUUAUUUUUCAGAUCUAUUAUCGAGCUAUAUAGUACUCCUUCUAUUCCAGUUUAUGUGAACCUAUUUCCUUUUUGGUUCGUUCCAAAAAAAUGACCUCUUUCUAAAUUUGGUAACAAUUUAGCUUAAACUUACAAUUCUACCCUUAAUGAGAAGCUUUUAUAAUCACACAAACACUCUGGGCCCCUUUUUGACUUGUUUAGGACCACAAAUUCCAAAAGUCUUUAUUUUUUUUUAAACUCCGUGUCUAGUCAAAUAGGUUCGCUUAAAUUGGAACGGAGGGAGUAUAUAUACUAAAGAAACCAUACUAAUAAUAAAACAUACAGUUUUUGGAGAAUUUAUUUCCCAUACAAGAAGCUCUUUUUGUUCAAGUAUUUUUUUUUUCUUAAUGAUAAAGCACAUUUUGUAUUAUUUUCUAUUUUAAGGAAAUUAUUUUUAAAACCAUUUUAUGCUUUAUUCUUUUUUUAAAAAGUGCUUUAUUACUUGAGUUUGACAACCUAAGAUAGAUCUUUAGGCUAAUAAUCACAUUAAAGGCAAGCUUGGGAUGUUGAUUAACUUGUAUGAAGUGAUAACAAUGUCACUUCCACAAUUAUUAUUAGAAAGAAAAUUACGCUUUAAGAAUAUGAUUACAUGUACUUCAUUUGUUUUCCAAUUAAACUAAGUAGAAAAGGACAGUGGUGAGACAAGGAUUCGGUCUUACAUAAUAAUAAUAGCAGUGGAUAUAGAACACGUUUUCAAAGAAAGCCAGAAAGAUAGAAGUUUCCGUUUUUAGAAGAACCGAUUUCAUUUUAGUCACAUGUCAAGCCCUUUAACUGCUAUCUCUAGUCUCUAGUUUUCAAAGAGAAGCUCCCACCUCCAAGUUGCUUAUGAAAUUGACAGCUACCUUAUGUUUUUGUUGGUAUUUAAAGACAAUGGGCCCCUUUUCCGUACAUUAGAAAUUUUACUUGUAUAAUACUUCAUGUUUCGGUUUAGAUGAGGUAAGAAAAAAAUUAGAAACUUUUGAAACUUGUGAUCUUAAAAGUUUAAGGGAUAAAAGCUUUGUGAGGUCAUGAUAUUUGUGUGGUUGUAAAAGUUUCUCAUUAAAGGUAAAAUGAGUAAAGUGAAAAGUUUAACGUUGAAUUAUUUUUAACAAUAGAAAUGUGUCAUUCUUUUUAAAACAGACUAAUAAGAAAAGUGUGUCAUCUAAAUUGAAACGGAGGAAAUACUUACAUGAUUAAUUCCAUUGGAUGAUUGUGAUCUCUCCACCAUUAGAUAUCUUGAAUUUGAGUGAUAAGAAUGAAGAUUUUCUUGAUAACUUGUGCUUUACCUUCUUGGCACAAAUCUAAACUAGUCGAAUUAAUGGGCUUGGGAUACAAAGAUAGUUAAACAUAACAAAAAAUAGUUAGUAUGUAAAAACAAGAUCGUCAGUGUUUUAACACCAUGAUUGAAAAACUAGAAUCCAAUAAGAAAUUGCUAGCCUGUGUUAAGAUAUAAAUUGCAAUUAACUAAUUAAAAUUAUGUUUUUUAAUAAUUUAUUAAGUUAUUAUAUGUUGACAUGAGGUUAAGAUAACCACUUUGUUAGUACUUGUUUCUGCAUGCUUAAAGGAAAAAACAGAAACAAAAAGAAGACACUAGCUAGCUUGGCCCACAAAAUUAAUCACUAGAUAUAUAAUGCAAGAAAUUUUACAAGGCUGACAAAUUGCAUUUUCAAAAGUGAUAGCAGACAAUUUUUGUUGUUGUUUAUUUAUGAAGUCAUCAGCUGCUAGUCAAAUCCUAACUGCCACAAAAUAGGCUUUAUUUCAUCAGUCAAGAAGUCGUUUAUGAAAUAUAUUUUCUUUUCCUCAAUUGCAAGACAUUAAAGGAAAAGAUAUUUUAUUCUCCUCUUAUUUUUUGGAGGUUUUGAUGUGUGACUGAGUAUAUACAAUUAAAUGUGACAAUCAUCAAAAUUGAUUUUUUUUCUUAAAAAAUUUGGGUUUAAAUAUUGAACGAUACUAGUUUAUAUAAUGUAACAUAACACGUACUACUGUAUUUAUUAUAUUAUGUGGCUAGUGAUAGUGUAACGUUACCAUAAAACUAGUUGACGACGAUUAGGCAUUGCAAAGACGUCUGUAUUCUUCAUCAGCUUGGCAUCGUCUUCAGCUUACUCUAAUAUUUGAUGACUUCUUUCAAUUUGUUACUCUUUUGGAGGCAUUGGUGACUCUACUAUUGGAGAAGUUGUAAGUGUCCUGUGAGGAGGAUUUCUUUUGUUUCAACGUUUUGUAAGUUUGAGUUUCGUUUAAAUAAAUAUAUAGGAGAAGGAGGCAAACGUGACUUUGAAUUUCAACCACAGAACAUGACAGGCAUUAUUUGUCAACAACAAACGUGAUUGAAAUGCUUAUUUCAAUUAUGAAAAACCUGUAAUCUAACUUUGUGGGCCAUGAACAUAUUGACACUCUUACCAACAUCUUAG
Molecule: long non-coding RNA, 4082 nt
Filed under: Nicotiana tabacum (common tobacco)
Lineage: Eukaryota; Viridiplantae; Streptophyta; Magnoliopsida; Solanales; Solanaceae
Description: long non-coding RNA (NTAB_LNC000514)
Source: RNAcentral